RNAcentral lists this ribosomal RNA (253 nucleotides) under uncultured bacterium. RNAcentral's name for it is "partial 16S ribosomal RNA". It matches the Rfam family "Bacterial small subunit ribosomal RNA", at positions 524 to 776 of the family's 1533-position model. The record is from RNAcentral.
UACGUAUGGUGCAAGCGUUAUCCGGAUUUACUGGGUGUAAAGGGAGCGCAGGCGGCGCGUUAAGCCUGGUGUGAAAGCCCGCGGCCCAACCGCGGGACUGCAUUGGGAACUGGCGCGCUGGAGUGCCGGAGGGGUAGGCGGAAUUCCUAGUGUAGCGGUGAAAUGCGUAGAUAUUAGGAGGAACACCAGUGGCGAGGGCGGCCUACUGGACGGUGACUGACGCUGAGGCUCGAAAGCGUGGGGAGCAAACAGG